UACCAGACUCCUACGGGAGGCAGCAGUGGGGAAUAUUGCACAAUGGGGGGAACCCUGAUGCAGCGACGCCGCGUGAGUGAAGAAGUAUUUCGGUAUGUAAAGCUCUAUCAGCAGGGAAGAAAAUGACGGUACCUGACUAAGAAGCCCCGGCUAACUACGUGCCAGCAGCCGCGGUAAUACGUAGGGGGCAAGCGUUAUCCGGAUUUACUGGGUGUAAAGGGAGCGCAGACGGCUGUGCAAGUCUGAAGUGAAAUGCCCGGGCUUAACCCCGGAACUGCUUUGGAAACUGUGCAGUUAGAGUGCAGGAGAGGUAAGUGAAUUCCUAGUGUAGCGGUGAAAUGCGUAGAUAUUAGGAGGAACACCAGUGGCGAAGGCGGCUUACUGGACAGUAACUGACGUUGAGGCUCGAAAGCGUGGGGAGCAAACAGGAUUAGAUACCCCGGUACU
This 447-nucleotide ribosomal RNA is filed under the name uncultured bacterium. Its description in RNAcentral is "bacterial SSU rRNA". It matches the Rfam family "Bacterial small subunit ribosomal RNA", at positions 329 to 794 of the family's 1533-position model. The record is from RNAcentral.